This is a long non-coding RNA of Merops nubicus (carmine bee-eater), 936 nucleotides long. RefSeq lists it as uncharacterized. NCBI's taxonomy places the organism in Eukaryota, Metazoa, Chordata, Aves, Coraciiformes, Meropidae. The transcript has 2 exons. The record is from RefSeq and is a predicted model, not a curated record.
GGCAGUGGGAGUGAAAUCCAGUUUCUCUCAGAAGCACAAGAUGACCCUCAGAAACGAAAACCUGACAUCAGAAAAGCCAAGUUAUUGCUUGGCUGGGAGCCUGUGGUCCCGCUGGAGGAAGGUUUGAAUAAAGCAAUUCAUUACUUCCGUAAGGAACUUGAGUACCAGGCAAACAAUCAGUAUAUUCCCAAACCAAAACCUGCCAGGAUGAAGAAAGGAAGAACAAGGCAUAACUGAAGACUGAGAGCUGGACAGGAAGUUCCCUGCUUAACGUUGGACGGAUGUAAUAUUUUAUUUCUUGUUGUUUUUUUUUUUGGAGAGAGACUUUGAAACAGGUGUCAUGAAGAACAAACUGGAAUUUCAUUCUGAAGCUUGCUUUAAAGAAGUGGAUGUGCCUAAAAAUAACAAUAUUCCCCUUCCCCUGCAAAUCUUGCCUUGCACUUUUUAAAUCUGUCUUUUUAUGUAAAAUAGAGUAGAAGCAUCUUUUAGUAUCUUCAAGUUUUAUAUCUUGCUGUGAGAUCAUUUUGUUGUGACUGUCCUCGACAGUUUUAUUUACUGGUUUCUUUGUGAAGCUGAAGAUAAACACAAAUGGGAUGGAAAUGCCAAUUUAUUUAUAAAAUGGGUACUAUAAAAUAUGAGAUGUUCUACUAUGCAUAAGAAAAAAGCUAGUGGUGUUGUCAGGUAAGAGAGACUGACAUCUAUAAAGGAGUUUAAAAGAAAUCUGUAUGAGAGCUUUAUGUAUUCUUUAAAGGAGAGAUUUUUUCAAAGGUUUAGUGGUAGGUGUACACUUGAAUUUGAGAUAUUUUCAUUGAUGACCAUGGAUAAGGAUAUUUUGAAUCACUACUGUGUUGUGCGUGCUCUGGGAAUAAAGUUAAUGUAUUAUUGGUUACAGUGGUUGAAUAUGCUAUUUUAAUAAAAUACUGAAACUUCUCUUUA